RNAcentral lists this ribosomal RNA (429 nucleotides) under uncultured bacterium. Its description in RNAcentral is "bacterial SSU rRNA". It matches the Rfam family "Bacterial small subunit ribosomal RNA", at positions 1 to 458 of the family's 1533-position model. The record is from RNAcentral.
UUAGAGUUUGAUCCUGGCUCAGAGCGAACGCUGCGGCAGGCCUAACACAUGCAAGUCGAACGCCCGUAGCAAUGCGGGAGUGGCAGACGGGUGAGUAACACGUGGGAACGUGCCCCUUCGGUUCGGAAUAACCCAGGGAAACUUGGGCUAAUACCGGAUACGUCCGCAAGGAGAAAGAUUCAUCGCCGGAGGAUCGGCCCGCGUCCGAUUAGCUAGUUGGUGGGGUAAUGGCUCACCAAGGCGACGAUCGGUAGCUGGUCUGAGAGGAUGAUCAGCCACACUGGGACUGAGACACGGCCCAGACUCCUACGGGAGGCAGCAGUGGGGAAUAUUGGACAAUGGGCGCCAAGCUCUGAUCCAGCCAUGCCGCGUGGGUGAUGAAGGCCCUUAGGGUUGUAAAGCCUCUUCGGCGGGGAAGAUAAUGACGGU